RNAcentral lists this ribosomal RNA (253 nucleotides) under uncultured bacterium. Its description in RNAcentral is "partial 16S ribosomal RNA". It matches the Rfam family "Bacterial small subunit ribosomal RNA", at positions 524 to 776 of the family's 1533-position model. The record is from RNAcentral.
UACGUAGGGUCCGAGCGUUAUCCGGUAUUAUUGGGCGUAAAGAGUACGUAGGCGGUCUUUCAAGACAAUGGUUAAAUCUCCGGGCUUAACCCGGAACCAGCCGUUGUGACUGUAAGACUAGUCGAUAGCAGGGGCAAGCAGAAUUCUCGGUGUAGGAGUGAAAUCCGUUGAGAUCGAGAAGAAUACCAAUGGCGAAGGCAGCUUGCUAGGCUAUAUGAGACGCUGAGGUACGAAAGCGUGGGGAGCGAACGGG